Molecule: ribosomal RNA, 635 nt
Filed under: fungal endophyte
Lineage: Eukaryota; Fungi
Description: eukaryotic LSU rRNA
Rfam family: 5.8S ribosomal RNA (bases 150-303)
Source: RNAcentral
UUGUGAACAUACCUAUAACUGUUGCUUCGGCGGGUAGGGUCUCCGCGACCCUCCCGGCCUCCCGCCCCCGGGCGGGUCGGCGCCCGCCGGAGGAUAACCAAACUCUGAUUUAACGACGUUUCUUCUGAGUGGUACAAGCAAAUAAUCAAAACUUUUAACAACGGAUCUCUUGGUUCUGGCAUCGAUGAAGAACGCAGCGAAAUGCGAUAAGUAAUGUGAAUUGCAGAAUUCAGUGAAUCAUCGAAUCUUUGAACGCACAUUGCGCCCGCCAGCAUUCUGGCGGGCAUGCCUGUUCGAGCGUCAUUUCAACCCUCAAGCUCUGCUUGGUGUUGGGGCCCUACAGCUGAUGUAGGCCCUCAAAGGUAGUGGCGGACCCUCCCGGAGCCUCCUUUGCGUAGUAACUUUACGUCUCGCACUGGGAUCCGGAGGGACUCUUGCCGUAAAACCCCCAAUUUUCCAAAGGUUGACCUCGGAUCAGGUAGGAAUACCCGCUGAACUUAAGCAUAUCAAUAAGCGGAGGAAAAGAAACCAACAGGGAUUGCCUCAGUAACGGCGAGUGAAGCGGCAACAGCUCAAAUUUGAAAUCUGGCCCUAGGCCCGAGUUGUAAUUUGCAGAGGAUGCUUUUGGUGCGGUG